GGGGUCUGAUGAGUCCAGAUUUACCAUGUUCCAGAGUGAUGGGCGUAUCAGGGUAAGAAGAGAGGCAGGUGAAGGGAUGCACCCAUCAUGCAUAGUACCUACUGUACAAGCCUGUGGGGGCAGUGCUAUGAUCUGGGGUAGCUGCAGUUGGUCAGGUCUUGGUUCAGCAACAUUAUGUGUCCAAAAAAUAAGGUCAGCUGACUACCUGAAUAUACUGAAUGACCAGGUUAUUCCAUCAAUGGAUUUUUUC
This is a non-coding RNA of Pelobates cultripes (western spadefoot toad), 250 nucleotides long. NCBI's taxonomy places the organism in Eukaryota, Metazoa, Chordata, Amphibia, Anura, Pelobatidae. The record is from the annotation of a GenBank genome assembly.